Molecule: long non-coding RNA, 1862 nt
Organism: Coturnix japonica (Japanese quail)
Lineage: Eukaryota; Metazoa; Chordata; Aves; Galliformes; Phasianidae
Source: Ensembl
UGCCCUUGCACUUGUCAGCCUGCUGGCACAGAUUGGUGAACCAGCAGCAGUGCUGCUCUGAGGAACCUCCACAAUUUCCCCUAAAAUGAAAGCACUAUCCUUUCUUUAGAACGCCAUGUAUUUCCUCCCAAAUGCUUUCUCCCCUCACCCAUUCCCAGCCAUGCUGGCUGAUCUCCUACAGGGUACCUCAACAGCUGCCAUCAGCUGGCUCUGCUCUUCGUGCAUAGCCUUGGGUCACCCAACAAAAAGUGCUGGUGCUGCCUACUGGAGGUGACCACCUGUGCUUCCUCCUGGGUACAGGAGCAGUGCUACCUCCCAGAUGCACCAGCUUGUCCAGGCAGUGCCCUCACCCUUCUUGGAGAUAGUUCUGUGUUUCCCACUGACAUUCGGGUGGUGUCAUCUCUGAGUACUUCAGGAUGGACCAUGCAGCAUUUUGGCACUGACAUCCCUCAGCAAAGUUGCUCAAAUUUGCUGCAGUUUACGCCAAGUGUAGUAGAAGUUGCACACACAGUGUAGGGGGGAAGAAAAUAAGAGGGUACAUGUUUAAAGAGAAAACAAAGCGCGUGUGCCUCACGUUUUGAGAUGCACUGGGAGAACUGUAGCUACUGCAUAACUCAGAAUAUGUAGCAUGGGGGACUGAGCGAUGUGUCUGCACGUGCAUUUGCAGGCAUUGCUUUUAAAGCAUGAGCUGAUUGCCACAUUUAAGCAUUUCAGCUCAGAAUUUAGAACAGUGUACUCAGUAAUCUUCUUGCUGACAAUUGGUUGGGUACGUGGCCGAGCUCACAUGAUGCUGCUCCAGGAAGAGAAAGAUAGACACGAUUGUGCCUUCGCUGUAUGUUUGCCAGCAGCAGUGAUAAACUGAGUGCUGCCCAAAACAAGAAAGAAAAAGCCCAUUUUGGUCCUUCAGCUGACACAGGAACCAAGAACACUCGCCUGCCAGGAGGUUGUGCGGACUGUGGAAGUUAGAAAAUAUCUCCUACUCCUAACAAUGGAGAGAAAAAAAAAAAUCCAAGUGGAAACAUAAAAGAAAUGGACACAUCCUGUGUUAGCUGGUAAGCCACAGAAAUGAAGAACAAAUACAAGAAUUCAAACUAAGAAUGCAAUUUCCACAAUAUCCUUCCUUCUAUUCCCCUGCUUCCCCCUCCCCUCUCACUGGGGCAUGAGAAUGUUCCCUGAUUUAAGACGACGCCCUAUUGUGAGGGCUAUAUGUGUGUUUUUCUAAUUGCGUGGUGUCUGCCAUGGUCUGCCAGUCAGUCUGUACUACAGAAACAAAAUGCCCCCCUCUCCCACCUCUCACUGGUAUUCCAAGUUUCUGGAGUGAGGCACUGCGAGUUGGGCUUUUCUGAUCAUAGAGCAGUCCCAGAAGGUUCUGGAUGGGGACUUUCAAGCAGAUAUUCAGUAAGUGAUGCUGUGUGAUGAAUCCUAAUGGCACUUUUCCUCCGCUGUCUGAAAGAAAACGUAUUUGAGGCACUCCAGAGAAAAAGGAGAAUCUCUGAGGACCUGCUGAUCUGCUCCCACUCCUCCCACUGGUUGGACUGCUGGAGAGCUUUGGCAAAGUUAAGGACUCAGUGACUAUAUCAAUCUUCGCUUACACAAAAAGCGUGUUAUCUGUUAUUUGCUCUGAUCAGUGGUGCAGCAGGACAUCCAUUAACACCUCUGUACACAAUGUGUGGAACCACUUCUGUCUGUACGCACUCAGGGGAACGAUUCUGGAUGUUGACAGGUUUCUAAACAUCUCCGCAGCCCAUUAUUUCUGUGAAGAUUUAUGCAGAGGGUACUCAUUAUUCUAAUUGCUCUCACAUACCAUUAAUACGUGAUUCACAGUCCACACGAUAACAGAAAUACGCAUCACUUGGUAACGA